AUGAUGGUUCAGCGUUACGUUUGUAUUAUCAGUCUGGACAAAACUUCCUGUUCUUGGAAUCAGACUGGAGACGGCCGUGACUGCUCCAGUGGGUUAGAGCAGGCUCUGCAGCCUUGGUUACCAACUUAUGCUAUAAAAGGAUCAUAUAUCCUUCAUAUAUCCAUCAUAUAUCCUUCAUAUAUCCUUCAUAUAUCCAUCAUAUAUCCAUCAUAUAUCCUUCAUAUAUCCAUCAUAUAUCCUUCAUAUAUCCUUCAUAUAUCCAUCAUAUAUCCUUCAUAUAUCCAUCAUAUAUCCCUCAUAUAUCCUUCAUAUAUCCAUCAUAUAUCCUUCAUAUAUCCUUCAUAUAUCCAUCAUAUAUCCAUCAUAUAUCCUUCAUAUAUCCAUCAUAUAUCCUUCAUAUAUCCAUCAUAUAUCCAUCAUAUAUCCUUCAUAUAUCCAUCAUAUAUCCCUCAUAUAUCCAUCAUAUAUCCCUCAUAUAUCCAUCAUAUAUCCAUCAUAUAUCCCUCAUAUAUCCUUCAUAUAUCCAUCAUAUAUCCCUCAUAUAUCCUUCAUAUAUCCAUCAUAUAUCCUUCAUAUAUCCAUCAUAUAUCCAUCAUAUAUCCUUCAUAUAUCCAUCAUAUAUCCAUCAUAUAUCCCUCAUAUAUCCUUCAUAUAUCCUUCAUAUAUCCAUCAUAUAUCCCUCAUAUAUCCCUCAUAUAUCCAUCAUAUAUCCCUCAUAUAUCCCUCAUAUAUCCUUCAUAUAUCCAUCAUAUAUCCAUCAUAUAUCCCUCAUAUAUCCUUCAUAUAUCCUUCAUAUAUCCAUCAUAUAUCCUUCAUAUAUCCAUCAUAUAUCCCUCAUAUAUCCAUCAUAUAUCCCUCAUAUAUCCAUCAUAUAUCCAUCAUAUAUCCCUCAUAUAUCCCUCAUAUAUCCUUCAUAUAUCCAUCAUAUAUCCAUCAUAUAUCCUUCAUAUAUCCUUCAUAUAUCCAUCAUAUAUCCUUCAUAUAUCCAUCAUAUAUCCAUCAUAUAUCCUUCAUAUAUCUCAUAUAACAUUCCCUCAAUAUCAUAUAUCCAUCAUAUAUCCUUCAUAUAUCCUUCAUAUAUCCAUCAUAUAUCCAUCAUAUAUCCUUCAUAUAUCCUUCAGAAAGACGGCUCCAACAUCUCUGUCCUCCUGUCGGUUGGAGCCACUUUGGCAGUUGUGGUGA
This 1182-nucleotide long non-coding RNA is filed under the name Takifugu rubripes (torafugu). RNAcentral's name for it is "lncRNA (ENSTRUG00000029440.1)". The record is from RNAcentral. Lineage: Eukaryota; Metazoa; Chordata; Actinopteri; Tetraodontiformes; Tetraodontidae.